RNAcentral lists this long non-coding RNA (614 nucleotides) under Anas platyrhynchos platyrhynchos (common mallard). Its description in RNAcentral is "lncRNA (ENSAPLG00000029395.1)". The record is from RNAcentral. Lineage: Eukaryota; Metazoa; Chordata; Aves; Anseriformes; Anatidae.
AGCUUGGACUGGGAGAACUGGGAGCACUGGGAGCAGGGGGCUGAGGGGACGGGGACUGGGAGCGGGGACUGGGAGCGCUGGGAACAGGAAGCGGUGUUGCUGGGAAGAGGAAUGGGGAGACUGGAAGCAGGCACUGGGAGGUACUGGGAGCACUGGGGGUGAGGGACGGGGUUACUGGGAGCAGGGACUGGGGGAGCACGGGGGGCUGGGACUGGGAGUACGGGACUGGGGGUACUGGGGGUACUGGGCGCAGGGACCGGGGGUGGAGGCUCGAGAGGGAGCUGCAGGGAGGCACUGGGAGCACUGGGGGGCAGCACUGGGAGCUCCGGAGGAUAGCACUGGGAUGCUAUGGGACGGCACUGGGAGCACUGGAGAUAGCACUGGUCACCAUGGGAUGCUGUGGGACGGCACUGGGUGGCGCUGGGGUGCUGUGGGACUGCACUGAGAGAGCACUAGUCAUACUGGGAGCUGUGGGACAGCACAGGAUGGGAGUACUGGGAGCACUGGGAUGCUAUGGGACAGCACUGGGAGCACCACUGGGAUGCUGUGGGACAGCACUGGGAGCACCACUGGGAUGCUAUGGGGCAGCACUGGAAGCACUGGAACACUACUGG